This 442-nucleotide ribosomal RNA is filed under the name uncultured bacterium. RNAcentral's name for it is "partial 16S ribosomal RNA". It matches the Rfam family "Bacterial small subunit ribosomal RNA", at positions 338 to 795 of the family's 1533-position model. The record is from RNAcentral.
CCUACGGGAGGCAGCAGUGGGGAAUAUUGGGCAAUGGGCGCAAGCCUGACCCAGCAACGCCGCGUGACGGAAGAAGGCAUUCGGGUUGUAAACUUCUUUUAAGAGGGAAGAGCAGAUGACGGUACCUCUUGAAUAAGCCACGGCUAACUACGUGCCAGCAGCCGAGUUAAUACGUAGGUGGCAAGCGUUGUCCGGAUUGACUGGGUGUAAAUGUCGGGAAGUCGGGCUGACAAGUCAGAUGUGAAAUCCGGGGGCUCAACCCCCGAACUGCAUUUGAAACUGUUGGUCUAGAGUAUCGGAGAGGCAGGCGGAAUUCCAUGUGUAGCGGUGAAAUGCGUAGAUAUUAGGAGGAACACCAGUGGCGAAGGCAGCCUGCUGGACGACAACUGACGGUGAGGCGCGAAAGCGUGGGGAGCAAACAGGAUUAGAUACCCUAGUAGUC